AGCAGCCGCGGUAAUUCCAGCUCCAAUAGCGUAUAUUAAAGUUGUUGCAGUUAAAAAGCUCGUAGUUGAAUUUCGGGGCCAGUAGGUUGGUCGUGCCACUGGUAUGCACUGGCCUUACUGGUCCCUCCUUCUUGUAGAACCGUGAUGCCAUUAAUUUGGUGUUGCGGGGAAACAGGACUGUUACUUUGAAAAAAUUAGAGUGCUUAAAGCAGGCUCGCGCUUGAAUACAUUAGCAUGGAAUAACGGAAUAGGACGAUCGAACCUAUUUUGUUGGUUUCUAGGAUCGACGUAAUGAUUAAUAGGGAUAGUUGGGGGCAUUAGUAUUCAAUUGUCAGAGGUGAAAUUCUUGGAUUUAUUGAAGACUAACUACUGCGAAAGCAUUUGCCAAGGAUGUUUUCAUUAAUCAAGAACGAAAGUUAGGGGAUCGAAGACGAUCAGAUACCGUCGUAGUCUUAACCAUAAACUAUGCCGACUAGGGAUCGGAUGAAG
This 489-nucleotide ribosomal RNA is filed under the name uncultured Glomus. RNAcentral describes it as "SSU rRNA". It matches the Rfam family "Eukaryotic small subunit ribosomal RNA", at positions 569 to 1062 of the family's 1831-position model. Lineage: Eukaryota; Fungi; Glomeromycota; Glomeromycetes; Glomerales; Glomeraceae. The record is from RNAcentral.